AGGAUGAACGCUAGCGGCAGGCCUAAUACAUGCAAGACGAACGGUAAGUUGAGUAGCAAUACUUGACCUAGAGUGUCGUAAGGGUGCGUAACACGUAUGCAAUCUGCCCUCAACAGGAGGAUAGCUCGCCGAAAGGCGAAUUAACACUCCAUAAGAUCAUGGUGCGGCAUCGCACAGUGAUUAAAACUCCGGUGGUUGAGGAUGAGCAUGCGGAUGAUUAGCUAGUUGGUGAGGUAACGGCUCACCAAGGCGAUGAUCAAUAGGGGAACUGAGAGGUUGACUCCCCCACACUGGCACUGAGACUACGGGCCAGACU
RNAcentral lists this ribosomal RNA (316 nucleotides) under uncultured soil bacterium. RNAcentral describes it as "bacterial SSU rRNA". It matches the Rfam family "Bacterial small subunit ribosomal RNA", at positions 26 to 337 of the family's 1533-position model. The record is from RNAcentral.